AUACGGAGGAUCCGAGCGUUAUCCGGAUUUAUUUGGUUUAAAGGGAGCGUAGGUGGAUUGUUAAGUCAGUUGUGAAAGUUUGCGGCUCAACCGUAAAAUUGCAGUUGAAACUGGCAGUCUUGAGUACAGUAGAGGUGGGCGGAAUUCGUGGUGUAGCGGUGAAAUGCUUAGAUAUCACGAAGAACUCCGAUUGCGAAGGCAGCUCACGAGACUGUUACUGACACUGAUGCUCGAAAGUGUGGGUAUCAAACAGGAUUAGAUACCCUGGUAGUCCACACAGUAAACGAUGAAUACUCGCUGUUUGCGAUAUACAGUAAGCGGCCAAGCGAAAGCAUUAAGUAUUCCACCUGGGGAGUACGCCAGCAACGGUGAAACUCAAAUGAAUUGACGGGG
This 393-nucleotide ribosomal RNA is filed under the name uncultured bacterium. Its description in RNAcentral is "partial 16S ribosomal RNA". It matches the Rfam family "Bacterial small subunit ribosomal RNA", at positions 523 to 918 of the family's 1533-position model. The record is from RNAcentral.